Long non-coding RNA from Tympanuchus pallidicinctus (lesser prairie-chicken), 4013 nucleotides. RefSeq lists it as uncharacterized. Lineage: Eukaryota; Metazoa; Chordata; Aves; Galliformes; Phasianidae. The record is from RefSeq and is a predicted model, not a curated record. The transcript has 3 exons.
GCAUCACCUGCCUUUCACGAACCUGUGCUGGCUGGGCCUGAUCCCCUGGACACUGCGUACAUGCUGUGCAAUCUCACCCAAGAUGAUUUGCUCCCUAACCUUUCCCGGUACUGAGGUCAGGCUGACAGGCCUGUAGUUCCCCGGAUCCUCCUUAUGGCCCUUCUUGAAGAUGGGAGUCACAUCAGCAAGCCUCCAAUCCUCUGGGACCUCACCAGUUAACCAGAAAUGCUGACAGAUGGCUGAGAGGGGCUCAGCAAUCACUCCUGCCAGCUCCCUCAGCACCUGUGGGUGCAGCCCAUCCAGUCCCAUGGACUUGUGACAGUCCAGAUGGAGGAGAAGCUCUCUGACUGUCUCCACCUGAAUUGCUGGGGGCGAUUCAGGCGAUUCAUAUACUGAAAGGUACUGCAGAAUUCUUCAAUUGCGCUGCUACUUUCAGUUUGAGGUGGCAAAACUCUUCAUCUUGCUUAGAAAUGUUGUAGCAUAACAUCUAUGUUUCAGAUGCUGCAGUGUUUUUUUUAUAAUUAAGGCAACAUACGAACGCCAAGUCAAGCAUGAAGAUCGUUCAAGUUGUUAGAGUUCAAGCAAUACAAGUAUUACUGUAGUUUCAAGUACUUUUUAAAAAUUAAGCUUGUGUUUUUUCAUGCAAUGCGCUUUUUGAUUGACUGCCACCUCCCAGAGUCUAUUACUCUUGUGGUAGAUUAAUCAGUGCGAGAAAGACAGUGUAAGAAUUGUUUUGAAUGCUAAUGGUCUUGUUUGGAUAACUGACCUUAAUCUGUUUAAGUUCUGAUGACCUGAAGAACUCAUGCUUGGUAGCAUAUUAAAAUGCAGCAUGUUCAAUAUCUUCCAGCCCUGUUAAGUAUUUUUAUUGAUGCUCUGGAUGAGGGGUGAGUUUGCAGAAGUCAUCAAUGUGGGGGAACUAUUGAUCUGCCUGAGGGAAGAAAGGCUCUACAGGGGGAUCUGGACAGGCUGAAAUGAUGGGCUGAAGCUGACCAUAUGAGGUUCAACAGGACCUGUGACUUUUGUUAGGGACCCUAACAUUGCUAUAGGUUUGGGGCAGAAAGUUGCACAGAGUAAAAGGACUUAAGGGUGUUGGUCAAUGCUCAGCUGAAGAUGAGCUAGAAAUCUGUCCAUCUGGCCAAGAAGGUCAUCCAGACAUCAUCAGACAUCAGAAAUGACUCAGCCAGCGGGACCAGGGAAGUGAUCGUUCCCCUUUACUCAGUUCUGGUGAGGCUGCACAUUGAGUUCAGUUUUGUGCUCCUCAAUACAAGAAAGACUUAGAGGCCUUGAAGAGUGUCCAAAGAAGGGCAAUAAAACUGGUGAAGGGUUGGAGCACGAGUCUUAUGAUGAGCAGCUGAGGGAACUGGGGUUGUUUAAUUUGGAAAAAAGGAGGGUCUCUACAACUACCUGAAAGGUAGCUAGUGACAGAUGAGAGGUAACAGCCUUAAGUUAUGUCAGAGUAAGUUCACGUUGGGUCUUAGGAAAAUAUAUUUCUCAGAAAGAGUGAUCAGGUACUGAAACGGGCUGCCCAGGGAAGUGGUAAAUUAUGUAUAAUCACAAAACUUCUGUAGGUGAACUUAGCACUGAAAGACAUGAUCUACUUUUAUGUCUACAAUACCAGAUUUUGAUAACUUUGGUUGUUCUUUUAGAUGGCUAUUUCCUGAGCGCUAUAUAGCAGAAAGCCUUUUGAAUACUUAUUCUGCUGUAGACCAUCAAGAAUUCUUGGAAAUAGUUUAUUUGACUUCUUAUCUGUGAGAAUGACUGCUUUGGUGUAUAGUAGAAAGAUUAUUGCCAAUAUUACUAUUAAAUACAUUUUUGUUUAAGGAGGGUUCUGACAUUGAUUUGGUCUAGCAUGCUUAGCACAAUUAGGUGUCAUAUUCCUCUGCAAAUCUUUGUAAGGGUGAUUGCCUAAAAGAUUCUGGAAGGAAAAAUGUGCAGAGAUUGUUUAAACUAGUUAAAAUUAAACUGUUUCAAAAGUAACCCAUCUGUUUAUUUGUUUGCUUGUUUGUUUGUUGGCGCAUGUGCAUUUUUUUUAUCUAGGACUUAUGGGAGAUAUGUCCUCAGAAUGUCAUGACCUCCAACUGGAUCUGUAUUCUUUUUCAAAAUCUAAAACUACUUUGUUCUCUUAGAAGUCAGAUAGAAAGAGUUGCAUCCUCUUCUUUCGUUCUUGUUCACUUGUUUAAACAUUCAUCUAGGUCAGGUCAAAAGUCCAUCUGCUACAACUGCAAACAAAUCAAACCUGUAUCUUGAAACACAUUAAUCUGUCCCUGGUCUCAUAGGGGAAACUUUCUCUCACUCUUUCAUGUUGUUUAUAUGUUGAUCUUCAUGUAACCUUUAUGUGAUAUCCCUGAAUUCCCACCACAAAAGAACGUAAUAGACUGUGGUGAUGUGGAUAUGCCAUAAAGACUUCUUUUUUGUAUUAGAUGCAGUGGACUCUUCAGUGUACCUCAGAAUUUGUCAUGGAUGAAGCUGUUCUACUAGCAGUGUCUACUGACUUUUGAAACUCCUAUCUAAGUCUUCAGCCACUACUGCAGUCCACAUGCAAGACCAAGAAGCAAAUACGUGCAAAACUUCAGGGUGAAGUCAUGGAAGACUAAAAUUUUUCUGUGUUCUCUGGAAAGAGGGAGGCUAAAGAACCCUGAUAAUCUACUCAUUCCUUUGAAUAAAUAUACCUGAAUUACAUGAGAGGUAAGUGGUGGUAGACCUGCACAAAAGAUGCAAUUUUCACAAAAUCUUUUUCAAAGAGCUUUACUACUAGUAAUCAGAAAUAGUUGCCUAGCAGAAAGGUGGAUAAAAUAAAAGUAAUCUGAGAAGAAUGAAGGUCUUUAGAAACUCCAUGGAUUAAUAGGAAUGGCAAGAAGAUACAGAGUGAAGCCUGAGGGCAGGAGAAAACUGAGGGGCAUUGAUGUGAGGAAAAAAGACUCAGAAAACGAGAAAGCUGUCAUGGUUUUAUGAUUUUUGAUUAUCGGUAUUCCACAUCAUAACAUCAUAUAGUGCACUGGGAGUUAAAGAGUGCACUGGGAGUUAAACUGCUCCAUGUCUGGAUACUUGUUCCAGAAGAGAAAAAAACAUUCCCCAGAAGAUUAUUUGUUGUUCUGUUAUCAUUUUUGUUCAGGGGGAACAGAUACAAAGCCUUGGAAGUUCACCUGACAUGCUCUUUUCCCUUUUUCAGCUCUCCUGCCUGCUGCUCGACCCAACUAUGAUGAGCCCUUUCCACCUUUUGAACAUUCUCUCUCAUUACAUUUGAUUUAUUAACUUCAAUUCUAAUUAUAUUGUAUUAUAGUGUGUUAUUUUGCAUUCCGAUACCAUAUUUAGUAAAUUAGUUUGUUUCUCCUCAGAUCAUUGCCUCUGUUUUUAAUUAUUCAGGGUCUCCUGCUUCCCCUUUCUGGAGGCACGGAUCUACAGAUCCUCCACCCCACUAGUCAUGGAACCAGGAAUCAGCCCAUAAACCAUUGACAAAAGUGGGAGUUUACUGAAGAUCAGAAGAAUUCAGGCACAUUAGAAAAAAAGAGCUAGAGAACAGAUAGUCAGAUGCAAGAGUUUCUAUAGCAGCCUUGUGUUUUUGAAAUAUACUAGCUCUCUUUGGAACAUCUUUCUUACUACGGUGGGUGGAGGAGGAAGUAAGACAGAGAAUUGGCUUUGUGGGUAUAUGCACCCUUUGGCUUAUUCAAAAUAGUUAACCAUUCAGAGUACAGUAAAAUUCAAGAAACUUCAUUAAAAUGAUGGAAAUGUUAGAGUGAUUGCGUACACAAGGUACUCACUGCAUUUGUCAAGUGAUUUCUAAAUGCUCAGGUGCAGCUAUGAUUAAGCCUUUGAAAUGUGAUGAGGAGAUUCCAGGUUUUCAUAGCAAAUUCUUACAAUUGUUAAAUACAUCAUUAACAAUGAUGACAAAGCAUGUUAAUCCAAACAAGGUUAGGAGAGCAAAAUAAGGCAGUCUUUCAUUCAAUAUGACCUUUCAUUCUGAUUGUUCACUCUCCUUUCCCCCUCCCCCCCACCUCCCCCCCCCCUUUUUUUUU